UCACACAGAGGAGUAGUGACGAAAAAUAACGAGACCGUUCUCUUCUGAGGCCGGUCAUCGGAAUGGGUACAAUUUAAACCCUUUAACGAGUAUCUAUGAGAGGGCAAGUCUGGUGCCAGCAGCCGCGUAAUUCCAGCUCUCAAAGUGCAUAGAAUUAUUUGCUGCGGUUAAAAAGCUCGUAGUUGGAUCUGUGCCAUAGACCGGGGUCUACCUCCGGGUACGUACUUCGUGUCUAGGCUUUUUGCUGGUUUUCCCGUCGUAGCCUUCACUGGUUGCGGCGGGUGGCUGGCGAGUUUACUUUGAGAAAAUCAGAGUGCUCAAUACAGGCGUAUUGCUUGAAUGAUUGUGCAUGGAAUAAUAGAAAAGGAUUUCGGUCCUCUUUUAUUGGUUUUGGGACUGAGAUAAUGGUUAACAGGGACAAACGGGGGCAUUCGUAUCGCUGCGUGAGAGGUGAAAUUCUUGGACCGUAGCGAGACGCCCUACUGCGAAAGCUUUCCAAAGAAUGUCUUCAUUAAUCAAGACG
Molecule: ribosomal RNA, 523 nt
Filed under: Cephalobus persegnis
Lineage: Eukaryota; Metazoa; Nematoda; Chromadorea; Rhabditida; Cephalobidae
Description: SSU rRNA
Rfam family: Eukaryotic small subunit ribosomal RNA
Source: RNAcentral